RNAcentral lists this ribosomal RNA (535 nucleotides) under Alphaproteobacteria bacterium. RNAcentral describes it as "bacterial SSU rRNA". It matches the Rfam family "Bacterial small subunit ribosomal RNA", at positions 1 to 567 of the family's 1533-position model. The record is from RNAcentral. Lineage: Bacteria; Pseudomonadati; Pseudomonadota; Alphaproteobacteria.
GAACAUGAGAGUUUGAUCCUGGCUCAGAACGAACGCUGGCGGCAUGCCUAACACAUGCAAGUCGGACGCCGCAGUCGCCUUCGGGCGGCAUGUGGAGUGGCGGACGGGUGAGUAACGCGUAGGAACCUGCCCGGAAGUGGGGGACAACCGCUGGAAACGGCGGCUAAUACCGCAUACGCCCCAAGGGGGAAAGGCUUCGGCCGCUUUCGGAGGGUCCUGCGUUCGAUUAGCUAGUCGGUGAGGUGACGGCUCACCGAGGCGACGAUCGAUAGCUGGUCUGAGAGGAUGAUCAGCCACACUGGGACUGAGACACGGCCCAGACUCCUACGGGAGGCAGCAGUGGGGAAUAUUGGACAAUGGGCGAAAGCCUGAUCCAGCAAUGCCGCGUGUGUGACGAAGGCCUUAGGGUUGUAAAGCACUUUCGCCCGCGAGGAUGAUGACGGUAGCGGGAGAAGAAGCCCCGGCUAACUCCGUGCCAGCAGCCGCGGUAAUACGGAGGGGGCGAGCGUUGUUCGGAAUUACUGGGCGUAAAGGG